RNAcentral lists this ribosomal RNA (648 nucleotides) under uncultured bacterium. RNAcentral describes it as "bacterial SSU rRNA". It matches the Rfam family "Bacterial small subunit ribosomal RNA", at positions 336 to 984 of the family's 1533-position model. The record is from RNAcentral.
CUCCUACGGGAGGCAGCAGUGAGGAAUAUUGGUCAAUGGACGCAAGUCUGAACCAGCCAUGCCGCGUGAAGGAUGAAGGCGUUCUGCGUUGUAAACUUCUUUUAUCAGGGAAGAAACCUCAGUAUUCUUAUUGAGCCGACGGUACCUGAUGAAUAAGCACCGGCUAACUCCGUGCCAGCAGCCGCGGUAAUACGGAGGGUGCAAGCGUUAUCCGGAUUCACUGGGUUUAAAGGGUGUGUAGGCGGGCUUUUAAGUCAGUGGUGAAAUCUCUGAGCUCAACUCAGAAACUGCCAUUGAUACUAUUAGUCUUGAAUAUUGUUGAGGUAGGCGGAAUAUGUCAUGUAGCGGUGAAAUGCUUAGAUAUGACAUAGAACACCGAUUGCGAAGGCAGCUUGCUAAACAAUUAUUGACGCUGAGGCACGAAAGCGUGGGGAUCAAACAGGAUUAGAUACCCUGGUAGUCCACGCCCUAAACGAUGAUUACUGGACAUUCGCGAUAUACAGUGAGUGUCUGAGCGAAAGCAUUAAGUAAUCCACCUGGGAAGUACGUCCGCAAGGAUGAAACUCAAAGGAAUUGACGGGGGUCCGCACAAGCGGUGGAGUAUGUGGUUUAAUUCGAUGAUACGCGAGGAACCUUACCUGGGCUAGA